CACCCGCCAGCCAGAUCCCGGAAGCCGCCCUCUCCUUUCCGGCGGCGUUCUUGAUUGAACGGUCCCCACCCCAGCGCCCCUGAUUGGAUGGGGCUUCAGAUCCCGCCCCCUCAGGUCCUGAGUGACAGGCGAUUGCAAUCUCACGUGAGGCUGGAUGAGGCCAGAAUGACAGCUUUUGGCCCAGCGGUUUGUAGGCGGUGCGUCCUUCCUGCGCUGGGAUCUGACCAUGCAAGAAGGACAUUCACAUUUAACCUUGUAUACAAGGUUAUAGCUAUUUGUGCAUAAUAUAUAUAUAAAAUUGGAAGCAAUAUAAUGACAAUUCUGUAACUGCGCAGUGGGUUCACCUUGCACGCUACCUAGACAGAGCCGAUUUCUCAAGACAGGGGAAUAGCAAUAGAGAAAGAGUAAUUCACGCAGUGUCGGCUGUGCGGGAGACCGGAAUUUUUUUAUUUUAUUUUAUUUUUUUGAAACAGAAUCUUGCUCUGUCGCCCAGGCUGGAGUGCAGGCUCAGAGUUUUACGAUUAUUCAAAUCAGUCUCCUUGAGCAUUUGGGGUUAAGAGUAUUUAGAAAGCUUGUUUUGCCAAGGUUGGGGAUGCAUGUGCAUGACACAGCCUCAGGAUGUCCUGAUGACAUGUGCCCAAGGUGGUCAAAGCACAGCUUGCUUUUGUUGGAGAGAAAUGCUCCGUGCCGCAAAGUGAAACCAGCACUCAAGCGAAAGUUUUCUCAGCAACGCAAUUUACUUCCGCAGAAGCGUGCUGCUCGCAUCAAUUAAGAUUGCAAGAGCACACUGAACAAAGGAAAGCAGGGGUUUUUAUUUCUAACGCAGUCCCUGUCUCUGGCAUGGGCUGGGGUCAGACCGCACGAUCUAAACUGACCCGGUUGGCUAUUUGUGAAUAUUUUCCCAAAUACGGAAGGGGGAAGGGGGAUGUGAGUUACAAUGGUGGGACGUGCGGUUUCCAAGGGAGAAAUGGGUGCAGACCAGGUAACCAAGGGAACAGAUGUGAGUUAUUGAUUAGAACUGACGGGAAGGUUGUUUACAGUAACUAAGGGCAAGGAGGCAUGGAGAACAAGAAAGUUGAGUUCGAAAACAAAAAACAAGAACGUUAACAUGCCAAACCUUGGAAGAGAAACUGACUGCAUCUGACAGCUUUACACAUUUUAGGGAGACAGGAGACAUCAAUGGACGUAUGUGAGAUGAACACUGGUUUGAUCCGGGACAACCUGAAGCAAAAGCGGGUCAACUCGAAACCAGGAGGGGGCUUCCAGGUCACAGAAAUGGGGGUCUCCCUCGGUUGCCCAGGCUGGUCUCUGGUGCCCAAAGCCGGGUUCCCCGUAAUCUCUACAAGUAAUCCAGUGAAGGAACGCCAGAGCGUGGAAAGUGGAGGAUGACUGACAAAGGACGCCCGAGUACGUUUUCACUUCAAGCUCUCCGGGAGAGAAUCAGCUUCCUGUCUGGGUACCCACAAGACAUCUUAAGCAGUGCCAUGAGCCAGAGUCCAAGGAAGAGGAAAAGACCUCGCAAUGUCUCUGCACCCCCAGUUCGUCAGACAGAGCAGAUGAACAUCUCUGUUGAGCAGACGGAAACCAGUAAAACUCCCCAAGCAACUCCACUGACCUGGGGGCAGAUGAAGAGACUAGCUCACAUUGCAGAAGAGAACCCGAGGUCUCAGAACAAGCCGCUGACCACCAGUAACCUAAUGGUAGCUAUGAUGGCGGUAAUCUCCUUGGUGGUGAGUCUUCCUGUAGCGGAGGCAGAUCAAAAUUACACUUAUUCGGCCUACAUUCCAUUCCCACCACGGAUUAGGCCUGUUACAUGGUUAGACGCCCCAGUGGAGGUUUAUGUUAAUGACAGUGUCUGGAUGCCUGGACCAACAGACAACUGAGAUCCUACUCAUCCAGAGGAGGAAGGAAUGUUAAUGAAUGUUUCUAUUGGUUAUCGCUUUCCUGCCAUCUGCCUGGGGCCGGCAGCAGGAUUUUUAAAUUAUGAUACACAAAGUUGGAUGGUUUAUGUCCCUGCACAUAAUGGAUCAAAAGCCUUUAUUCAUGUAAUCAGUGGAAGAACAUGUCAAUCUUUGGACACUAUUAAAUGCCUUGAGCACGGCUAUGUUAUGACACAUCACUAGAUUAAUAAAUUUAAACCUAAUAAGAACCUCCUGUCAUUAAAUGGUCUGAAAAGCUAGAGGUGCUAACCUGCGAAGAUUGUAUUGCAAACAGUGCUGCUGUACUACAAAAUAAUUCCUAUGGAAUCAUCAUUGAUUGGGCCCCUAGGGGACACUUUGCAGUAAAUUGUACUGGACAGAGCGAAGAUUGUAGAGAGACUACUUUUGCAAACGACUACCCAGAUAACGCACCAAAAUUACAUAGAAGAAUGGAAACAAAUUACCCUAUUAAGUGGGAGGAGAACGGUAUGGCUCCUCCAAGCCCAGAAAUGAUUGAUCCAAUUAUAAGCCCAGAACAUCUAGAAUUAUGCAAAUUAAUGAUGGCUCAAACCCCAGUUUGGAGUUGGAAAGCAGAAUGUAAAACAGAGACCUAUAGUAAAAAACUUCAUUUGUUGUAGCCAUGACCUCUAAUCGGACGGUCCCAUUGCAGAGUUGUGUUAAACCUCCUUUUAUGUUGGCAGUGGGAAAAAUUAAUAUCCUACCUGACUCUCAAACCAUAUCAUGCCUCAACUGUCGUCUUUUUACCUGCAUUAAUUCUACCUUUAAUAAAGAUAAUAGCAUUUU
This is a long non-coding RNA of Symphalangus syndactylus (siamang), 2723 nucleotides long. RefSeq lists it as uncharacterized. The record is from RefSeq and is a predicted model, not a curated record. NCBI's taxonomy places the organism in Eukaryota, Metazoa, Chordata, Mammalia, Primates, Hylobatidae.